GCGCCCAUAGCUCAGCUGGACAGAGUAACGGACUACGAAUCCGUAGGCCGCAGGUUCGAAUCCUGCUGGGCGCACCA
This 77-nucleotide transfer RNA is filed under the name Deltaproteobacteria bacterium. RNAcentral describes it as "tRNA-Arg". It matches the Rfam family "tRNA". From Rfam's summary of the family: Transfer RNA (tRNA) molecules are approximately 80 nucleotides in length. Their secondary structure includes four short double-helical elements and three loops (D, anti-codon, and T loops). RNAcentral also lists the same sequence under 1 other name. The record is from RNAcentral. Lineage: Bacteria; Pseudomonadati; Myxococcota; Myxococcia.